AAAAUCUUUAGAGUCCCAAAUAUAUAUCAAAUAUAUCUUACAGCCUUCCUAAAACCUAUAUAUUUUAUAAAUAAAGUGAAAUGUAUUUUAACAUUACAUCUUAGGCAACAACAUAACUUUGCAUUACUAAGAGCGAUAAAACUCUAGCUCUGCUAGAACACUGACUGCUUGGGGAGAGCAAAUCAAAUCUGACAAAAUUUUGAUUGCAAUACAAAUACACAACAUUUGUUGAGAACCUGUUAUGAUUUCAUCACGGUUCUGGGCCUCUUAGGUGCCCAGACACUGUAAGUCAACCCUGAACCAUCAUUUUAGCCUCUUUCUGCUUUGCCAACUGUUACCCUUCCAAUUAUUUUUUAAAAUGUCUCUUAGACUAUAUCUUUGCC
RNAcentral lists this long non-coding RNA (383 nucleotides) under Homo sapiens (human). RNAcentral's name for it is "HSALNT0251407". The record is from RNAcentral. Lineage: Eukaryota; Metazoa; Chordata; Mammalia; Primates; Hominidae.